CAGCCGCCACGGGAAUACGUAGGGUGCAAGCGUUAAUCGGAAUUACUGGGCGUAAAGCGUGCGCAGGCAGUUAUAUAAGACAGAUGUGAAAUCCCCGGGCUCAACCUGGGAACUGCAUUUGUGACUGUAUAGCUAGAGUACGGCAGAGGGGGAUGGAAUUCCGCGUGUAGCAGUGAAAUGCGUAGAUAUGCGGAGGAACACCGAUGGCGAAGGCAAUGCCCUGGGCCUGUACUGACGCUCAUGCACGAAAGCGUGGGGAGCAAACAGGAUUAGAUACCCCUGUAGUCCCUGUCUCUUAUAC
RNAcentral lists this ribosomal RNA (301 nucleotides) under uncultured bacterium. Its description in RNAcentral is "partial 16S ribosomal RNA". It matches the Rfam family "Bacterial small subunit ribosomal RNA", at positions 509 to 807 of the family's 1533-position model. The record is from RNAcentral.